GCAGUCGUGGCCGAGUGGUUAAGGCGAUGGACUUGAAAUCCAUUGGGGUCUCCCCGCACAGGUUCGAAUCCUGUCGGCUGCG
Molecule: transfer RNA, 82 nt
Filed under: Dermacentor andersoni
Lineage: Eukaryota; Metazoa; Arthropoda; Arachnida; Ixodida; Ixodidae
Also listed under: 1 other name
Description: transfer RNA serine (anticodon UGA)
Rfam family: tRNA
About the family: Transfer RNA (tRNA) molecules are approximately 80 nucleotides in length.
Source: RNAcentral